UCAAGUGACUAAGUGUAUGUGGUGGAUGCCUUGGCGAUCACAGGCGAUGAAGGACGUAGUAGCUUGCGAUAAGCUGCGGGGAGCCGGCAAACGGGCUUUGAUCCGCAGAUUUCCGAAUGGGGGAACCCACCGACUUAGGUCGGUAUCACGCACUGAAUACAUAGGUGCGUGAGGCGAACGGAGCGAACUGAAACAUCUAAGUAGCUCCAGGAAAAGAAAUCAACCGAGAUUGCGAAAGUAGCGGCGAGCGAAAUUGCAGCAGCCCAGUGUUCUGAUAGCACGAACGACAGCAGAAGGGUCUGGAAAGGCCUGCUAUAGAGGGUGAUAGCCCCGUAUGCGAAAUCGGACGUGUGGUACUAAGGAACCGAUAAGUAGGGCGGGACACGUGACAUCCUGUCUGAAGAUGGGGGGACCAUCCUCCAAGGCUAAAUACUCGUGAUCGACCGAUAGUGAACCAGUACUGUGAAGGAAAGGCGAAAAGAACCCCGGGAGGGGAGUGAAAUAGAACCUGAAACCGCAUACAUACAAACAGUAGGAGCCCCUGCAGUGGGGUGACUGCGUACCUUUUGCAUAAUGGGUCAGCGACUUACGUUUUGUGGCGAGCUUAACCGAGUAGGGGAGGCGUAGCGAAAGCGAGUUCGAAUAGAGCGACAAGUCUCAAGGCGUAGACCCGAAACCAGAUGAGCUAUCCAUGGCCAGGUUGAAGGUGUGGUAACACACACUGGAGGACCGAACCGACUAGUGUUGCAAAAUUAGCGGAUGAGCUGUGGAUAGGGGUGAAAGGCUUAACAAAUCUGGAGAUAGCUGGUUCUCCCCGAAAACUAUUGAGGUAGUGCCUCGUGUAUUGCUCCAGGGGGUAGAGCACUGUUAUGGCUAGGGGGACAUGGCGUCUUACCAAACCAUGGCAAACUCCGAAUACUUGGAAGUAAGAGCACGGGAGACAGAGCACCGGGUGCUAACGUCCGGACUCAAGAGGGAAACAACCCAGACCGCCGUUUAAGGUCCCAAAUAUUGACUAAGUGGAAAACGAAGUGUGAAGGCUAAGACAGUCAGGAAGUUGGCUUAGAAGCAGCCAUCCUUCAAAGAAAGCGUAAUAGCUCACUGAUCGAGUCCUCAUGCGCGGAAGAUGUAACGGGGCUAAGUCAAUAACCGAAAGCGCGGAUUUGCAUGAAAAUGCAAGUGGUAGGGGAGCGUUCUGUAAGCCUGCGAAGGUGGUUCGAGAGGACUGCUGGAGGUAUCAGAAGUGCGAAUGCUGACAUGAGUAACGUUAAAGCGGGUGAAAAGCCCGCUCGCCGUAAGCCCAAGGUUUCCUGCUCUACGUUCAUCGGAGCAGGGUGAGUCGGCCCCUAAGGCCAGGCUGAGAAGCGUAGUCGAUGGGAAGCAGAUUAAUAUUUCUGCACCAUGUGCAAGUGCGAUGGGGGGACGGAGUGCGAAAGAUCAUCCGGGUGUUGGAUGUCCCGGUUUGCGAGUGUAGAAGGCCGACAGGCAAAUCCGUCGGCGGAUCUUCGAGACAAAGCAUCGAGGUUCUACGGAACCGAAGUGAUCGGAAGUGCUUCCAGGAAAAGCCUCUAAGCUUCAGCUUGUACAUGACCGUACCGUAAACCGACACUGGUGGGCGAGUUGAAUAUACUCAGGCGCUUGAGAGAACUCGGGAGAAGGAACUCGGCAAAUUGACACCGUAACUUCGGGAUAAGGUGUGCCUUUGUAGCGUGAAGAGAGAAACACUCGGAGCGUGAAGAGGCCUCAGAGAAUCGGUGGCUGCAACUGUUUAUUAAAAACACAGCACUCUGCAAAGACGAAAGUCGACGUAUAGGGUGUGAUGCCUGCCCGGUGCUGGAAGAUUAAGUGAUGGGGUGAGAGCUCCUGAUCGAAGUCCCAGUAAACGGCGGCCGUAACUAUAACGGUCCUAAGGUAGCGAAAUUCCUUGUCGGGUAAG
This 1936-nucleotide ribosomal RNA is filed under the name human gut metagenome. RNAcentral's name for it is "bacterial LSU rRNA". It matches the Rfam family "Bacterial large subunit ribosomal RNA", at positions 3 to 1980 of the family's 2925-position model. The record is from RNAcentral.